GGCUUGUCUGAGUCCUGAGCCAGCAGAGCUCAGGCCACAGCACCUGCACCCGUUUUCUGCUGCUGCACACAAGGGCUCUGUGCAUUCCGCAUCCAGAAGAUCUUAGAUUAGUAAGAUCAUGUUGGCCAUGGCAUGGAGAAUGGGCUGGAGGUGGAGAGACUGGAGGUUGGAAGUCCAGUUAGGAGAUUGCUCCUGCGCUGGGGAGUUGGUGUUAGGACAGAAGAUCCAAGACACAUUUCAGAGAGCCCCUCUUCUUGGGCCUGCGAUUCCUCACCUGGAAGGGAGAAGAGUGGACUUCCUGCCUAGAGAACACCUUGUGGCUCCCUUUGAAGAACUGCCUUGGGGUUCAUGUUGCAGCAUCAAACAGGGAUGGAAGAUGCAUCUUGCUUUAGCAGCAGGAGCCUGGAAAGCAGCUGAAGCCCUGGAGGGUGCCUGGCACACAGAAUCUUGUGCUGAGCCUGGAGCACAAUGGGAGCGGGCUGGCAGGGUGGGUUCACAGCUGGACUGGGAGCAGCAGACAUACAGGCCGUAGGCACAGACAUAUAAAGACAGUCAUGCAGAUUGCAGGAUGCCUGAGAGCACAGACUCUCACAUGCACAAAUACGUGCGUGAUCGCCAGUGUGCAUCCAGACAGCCCCACAUGCAUGCACACGCAUGCACACAUGUGAUGUGUACAUAGAUGGACACAUGUCUAUGCCCACAAACACUGCAGAGACACACACAGAAGUGUCUGGCAAGGAACACUAUUUUGUCCUCAAUUUUCUGCCAGUGAGAGUCUACUGACUCCAUCUCUGAAAUGUCUCUACUUAUUGUCCCUCUUCUCCACCUGCGCCACAUCCCUAGUCCCUGAAACUCCCACCGAGACCCCUGGGCAAU
Molecule: long non-coding RNA, 876 nt
Filed under: Pan troglodytes (chimpanzee)
Lineage: Eukaryota; Metazoa; Chordata; Mammalia; Primates; Hominidae
Description: lincRNA
Source: RNAcentral